CGGGGUGUGGCGCAGCCUGGUAGCGCGUUGCGUUCGGGACGCAAAGGUCGCUGGUUCAAAUCCAGUCGCCCCGA
This 74-nucleotide transfer RNA is filed under the name Planctomycetota bacterium. RNAcentral describes it as "Planctomycetes bacterium (activated sludge metagenome) tRNA-Pro". It matches the Rfam family "tRNA". Rfam says of the family: Transfer RNA (tRNA) molecules are approximately 80 nucleotides in length. Their secondary structure includes four short double-helical elements and three loops (D, anti-codon, and T loops). Further hydrogen bonds mediate the characteristic L-shaped molecular structure. tRNAs have two regions of fundamental functional importance: the anti-codon, which is responsible for specific mRNA codon recognition, and the 3' end, to which the tRNAs corresponding amino acid is attached (by aminoacyl-tRNA synthetases). tRNAs cope with the degeneracy of the genetic code in two manners: having more than one tRNA (with a specific anti-codon) for a particular amino acid; and 'wobble' base-pairing, i.e. permitting non-standard base-pairing at the 3rd anti-codon position. Lineage: Bacteria; Pseudomonadati; Planctomycetota. The record is from RNAcentral.